Molecule: long non-coding RNA, 504 nt
Filed under: Coturnix japonica (Japanese quail)
Lineage: Eukaryota; Metazoa; Chordata; Aves; Galliformes; Phasianidae
Description: lncRNA (ENSCJPG00005008670.1)
Source: RNAcentral
UCAAGUAGCUCUUGGCACCAUACUGGGGUAAUCUCCCUGACAAUUUAGUUUUUAUCUUUCUCAUUAGAUUGUGCUUCCGUAUCUCUCCAGCUCCCUCCCCCCCCCCCCCCCCCCCCCCAAUCUAUCUGUCUCUCUUGUUGCUAGGUAAAAAACUCAGAGCAACCGCAAUGGAAGCUGACUCACGGCCUAUACAUGGGAGAUGGAAAAACUAAGUAUUGCCAAAUGACUAGAAAACUUUCUGCAGCAACCUGCAUGAGAUUCCACUUUAGGCCAUGUUUCUCUGACAACACAGUUGUUUCCAAGGGUCCCUGGAGCUCCCAUACACUGGCUACAGUUUCUGACCAGACCUUGAGUGCUGCUAGUUGUGUUGACGAGCUCAGAAACUGUUCCCUGCAAUGAAAAGAAACUUCAAAUUGGUUCUCCCAUGAGGCUGGUGUGAGAUCUGGCGAUAUCUUCACAUUUUACAUUAAUAAAGUGGAGUCUGUUCCCUUCUUACUUAUAUGU